CCUACGGGAGGCAGCAGUAAGGAAUAUUGGACAGUGCUCGCAAGAGUGAUCCAGCCAUGCCGCGUGCAGGAAGAAUGCCCUAUGGGUAGUAAACUGCUUUUGAACUAGAGAAAAUCCCAGUACGUGUACUGGGCUGAUAGUAUAGUUAGAAUAAGCAUCGGCUAACUUCGUGCCAGCAGCCGCGGUAAGACGAAGGAUGCAAGCGUUAUCCGGAUUCAUUGGGUUUAAAGGGAGCGUAGGUGGACUGAUAGGUCAGUGGUGAAAUCUCCGAGCUUAACUCGGAAAUUGCCAUUGAUACUGUUGGUCUUGAGUACAGUUGCUGUGGGCGGAAUAUGACAUGUAGUGGUGAAAUACAUAGAGAUGUCAUAGAACACCGAUUGCGAAGGCAGCUCACAAAGCUGUAACUGACACUGAGGCUCGAAAGUGCGGGGAUCAAACAGGAUUAGAUACCCUGGUAGUCCGCACCGUAAACGAUGAUUACUCGCUGCUAGGGGGCAACCUUUAGUGGCUUAGCGAAGCGAUAAGUAAUCCACCGUGGGAGUACGCCGGCAACGGUGAAACGUCAAAUUGAAUUGCGGNGNGAGAGNGCGACGGACGACGAGAGGGAGGAGG
RNAcentral lists this ribosomal RNA (612 nucleotides) under uncultured bacterium. Its description in RNAcentral is "bacterial SSU rRNA". It matches the Rfam family "Bacterial small subunit ribosomal RNA", at positions 338 to 953 of the family's 1533-position model. The record is from RNAcentral.